AAUUCCACGUGUAGCGGUGAAAUGCGUAGAGAUGUGGAGGAACACCAGUGGCGAAGGCGACUCUCUGGUCUGUAACUGACGCUGAGGAGCGAAAGCGUGGGGAGCGAACAGGAUUAGAUACCCUGGUAGUCCACGCCGUAAACGAUGAGUGCUAAGUGUUAGGGGGUUUCCGCCCCUUAGUGCUGCAGCUAACGCAUUAAGCACUCCGCCUGGGGAGUACGGUCGCAAGACUGAAACUCAAAGGAAUUGACGGGGGCCCGCACAAGCGGUGGAGCAUGUGGUUUAAUUCGAAGCAACGCGAAGAACCUUACCAGGUCUUGACAUCCUCUGACAACCCUAGAGAUAGGGCUUUCCCUUCGGGGACAGAGUGACAGGUGGUGCAUGGUUGUCGUCAGCUCGUGUCGUGAGAUGUUGGGUUAAGUCCCGCAACGAGCGCAACCCUUGAUCUUAGUUGCCAGCAUUCAGUUGGGCACUCUAAGGUGACUGCCGGUGACAAACCGGAGGAAGGUGGGGAUGACGUCAAAUCAUCAUGCCCCUUAUGACCUGGGCUACACACGUGCUACAAUGGACAGAACAAAGGGCUGCGAGACCGCAAGGUUUAGCCAAUCCCACAAAUCUGUUCUCAGUUCGGAUCGCAGUCUGCAACUCGACUGCGUGAAGCUGGAAUCGCUAGUAAUCGCGGAUUCCCGCAGCCGCGGUAAUACGUUCCCGGGCCUUGUACACACCGCCCGUCACACCACGAGAGUUUGCAACACCCGAAGUCGGUGAGGUAAC
Molecule: ribosomal RNA, 774 nt
Filed under: Bacillus pumilus
Lineage: Bacteria; Bacillati; Bacillota; Bacilli; Caryophanales; Bacillaceae
Description: bacterial SSU rRNA
Rfam family: Bacterial small subunit ribosomal RNA
Source: RNAcentral